GACAGAGGUCCCGAGCGUUAGGCGGAAUCACUGGGCUUAAAGCGUGUGUAGGCGGAUCGUUAAGUGCCUUGUGAAAUCCCACGGCUUAACCGUGGAACUGCUUGGCAUACUGGCGGUCUUGAGCCACUUAGGGGCAACCGGAACAAAUGGUGGAGCGGUGAAAUGCGUAGAUAUCGAGAGGAACACCAGUGGCGAAGGCGAGUCUCUGGACGACUCCUGACACUGAGGCACGAAAGCCGGGGGAGCAAACAGG
This 253-nucleotide ribosomal RNA is filed under the name uncultured bacterium. RNAcentral's name for it is "partial 16S ribosomal RNA". It matches the Rfam family "Bacterial small subunit ribosomal RNA", at positions 524 to 776 of the family's 1533-position model. The record is from RNAcentral.